UAGCUCAGCUCAGCUCAGCUCUCUAUAAAUAAACUUGAAGAAUAUGCAACAACAAUGACAACAAACAAUCUACAGGACAUUCUCUUUUAUCAGGUGAUUGCUGUUGACUUGAGCUUCAACUUCCUUCAAUGGCCGGCCUUCAAUACAACUUUUUCCCGACUGAUUUCUUCUACCCUCGUUCACCCACCCCUGUUACUACUGAAAAAGUGACACUACCGUCGCAACAGUUCUACUUUUUCCCUACUGAUUUCCUUUAUCCUCGCCCUCUACAGCCCGUGAAAGUUGACAGCAGAAGAAGGGCAGCACUGCAUAUCAAGAAGAGAGACGUACCUCACACCUGGGAAAUGGAAUCGCCAGCAAGCAGCAAGCCUGGUUUUCCCAUUAAUAAACCAGAAGGUGAGUACCAACGGAACGACAUGUGACGCAAAUAAUCCAUUUCUGUUGCUUGAUAAAUUCCAGCUUUUUUUUUUUGGUGCUCUCACAUGGAUCUCCUAAAUUUAUAUGUUCCUAGUUGUGCCAAAAACAUCAAUUGUCAAAUAACUAAGGCUUAUGCAACUUAUGCAGCUGAAGGGCUUCCUCUUUGCAGUCCUUAGUGUUCGGAAAAAAAAGUAUCAAUAUUCAGAAAUGAAAUUAGAAGACGUCCAUAAUCAUUCAUUCAGAAAAUUAAAAGAAAAUGUUUGAACACAGACAAACAAGAUUAACUUAGUACACUAUCUAAAUUGGGAGAUAUGUAAAGCAUUGAGUGGUACUUGAAAUUUGUAACAUUAUACAUAAAAUAAGUUCGACGUCCAUGGCAUACAACAAGUUAGAACUACAAAAACUACUACACAUCCAUUCCUAAGUAUUAACAUCUAAAAUUCAAUUGCCAUGAAGUUCGAUAAGCCCAAAAUUCUCUACAACAAAGGCCACCAACUAUAUCACUCGAUGUCAGAAGCAUCACAAAUGAGACAUCUUCAGCAGCAUGAUUUCUCUAAGAUUCUCCGCAAACCUAUUACAUAAAGGAAAAGAAGAUUUCUCACUUAUAUCAACAAUGAAAUCAAUAAACACUUGAAUGUUAUUUUACAGAAUCAGUUACCUCUUGGUACUCUUCAUGAUCAUUUUCUUCGUCAAAGAAUGUGGCAUAUCCAGAGAAAGACGUAGAUUCCAAAUCUAGUUAAAAUGAAAACAAAAAUCAAACAUAGGUUUUGUGAGUAAUGUUAAAUCUCUACUUAGCAUGUAAUUGAUUCACACCUCCAAGAUAACCACGCAGCCAACUUUGACUACACAUCAAAGCCUCCAAUGUAUUUGGAUCAAGUUUUCUGUGAUGUGGGCUUACAAAUCCACCACUAGUGCUAAAUGCUGAACCAGAACCAACUGUGGAGACUGGAAUUGCCAAGAUAUCUCUGGCAAUUUUAGACAAUGUAGGAUACCUACUCAUAUUUGCUUUCCACCAACCCAAAAUAUCAAAGUCCUCUGUUAAUGGCAGGACAUUCUCACCCAAAUAAGAAUCAAGCUCGGACCGAACUUGCUUAGCUUUUAUGAAAUCUUGAAAUCCCAACAUAAUAAAUUGGGUAUGUUUUUUAUAAGGACAGAACUCAGAAAGAGUGGCUGAAGAACUAUCCAGAUCAGAAUUAACAUUAGAUGAUUGACACUUUGAUUGAUACUCAUUCGCCAAAUCCUUAAAAAGGCUAUGUACUCUCUGAACAUGGAAAGAAAAAUCACCACCAAAAAGCAUAGGAAAAUAAUAUUCAAUCAACUUCAUCUUGUACCUUGGAUCCAAUACACAUGCCACAGCUAAUAUUCCAUGUAUAUCCUUCCAAUAUUUUUCGAAGUUUUCUAUCAUGCUUCUUGCCAAUUUUUUAAUCUCAUCAAAACUAGAUGAAAGCCAAUCAUCUAAUGACAAUCUAAUCUCAUAAACAUGUAGAAAAAACAAAUUGGAAGUUGGAUACUUGACAUUAGAAAACAAUUGAAUAACAUCGUAUAAACUUUUCAAUUUUUCUUCCAAGAUGUGUGCCAAUUCCCAAUCCUUCUCACUAGGCAAACAACCAUACUGUCCCUCGUGUUGCUCUAAUAGAGAGAACACACUUUUAUACUGCAAUGCAGUGGAAAUCAUGAGAUAUGUUGAAUUCCAACUCUCAGCACAAUCAAGCACUAAUUUCCUAUCACUUGUAAUGCCUAACAAAUGAGCGAUUUCUUCAAACUUUUCCAUUCUUUUAGAUGAUUCUGACCAAAAACUAACACUAUCACGAAUCUUAGCAAUUGCAUCACUAAUCACACUCAACCCAUCCUUCACAAUCAAAUUUAAAGUAUCGACAAAACAAUGAAUAUGAAAUAACUGCCCAUGCAUGAUUAAAUCAUCUUUCCCGAGCUUCAAUAAAAGAUAUUGAAUCAUUUGCUCAUUAUAACUACAAUUAUCAACAAUCAGGGCAGAUAACUUCCGAUCAAUGUUAUGAUCCAUCAAACAGUGCAGUAAUGUGUCACAAACUACUUCAGCUGUAUGUGGAGUAGACACAGGAAUAAACCUACAAAAGUAAAAGAUUAAAUACAAAUACAAAUAAGUUCAAAUCUAUUCAGAAUGAACAAAAAGUGAAAAUAUUACACGUUUAGUAACUGAACAAAAUUCAGUAUCUUACCUCAAAAGAUGACUCUGUAAUGUCCAAGAGUCAUCAAUGAAGUGUGCUGUAACUGCCAUAUAUCCUACGGAUUGGUUUUCUACAGUCCACAUUUUUGCCGUAAUGGCAAUCCUACUCUGAUUGCAGUCCAAUGCACUCACUUUCUUAGCCCUUUCAUACUCAUAUAUAUCCAUAAUUUCCUUUUUAAUUUCAUUUCGGGACACUGGUUUCCACAAAGGUUGAAGAGAGGAUAACACAUCAUUAAACCCUCCGUGCUCCACAACACUCAGAGGGUACUCAUGCAUGAUGAUCAUCCGUGCAAUCCUUUUCCUCGUAACAUUAGGAUCAAAACAGAAUGCAUCUGAUUUGGCCUUUCCUUGAUCAUGCUUAAUGGUUCUCAAAGGCGUCGCGUACUGUGUUAUAUCCUUCUGUCUUCGAUCAGUUAUCACCUUUUGCCUUCGCAAAAGACACGCCUUCAUAUGGUCACGCAAAUGUCUUGUUCCGUCAGUACUCCGUGCUACUAAACGGUUUUUGCAAUAAUUGCACACCGCCUUUUGCACCCCAUUAAUUUCUUUUCUCUCGAAAUGUUGCCAUACGAUGGAUUUCAAUCUCCCUGUGGGUUUAGACGACAUCUUUCCACAAUUGGCAUUAUCUACCGCACCUUGAUGAGAUGAAUCAUCAUCAUCAUCCACUACUAUUGGUUUGGGUGUGGGAGUUGACAUAUUUAAGCUACAACAACGAAAUUCAUUGCCUCAGUUCAAAAACUGUUAGUCAAAUAAUUAAUCAAUUUAUAAUUUAUAUAAAAUAAUGAACCGAAGUAUAAAAGUGGGUAAAAAGUAAUUUUUUUUUUUCAAAGAAAUGACAAAAAUUACCAAAUAGUAGAAACUGUCCAGGCUUUGAAGAAGAAGUGAGCGCGGCCGGAGACGGCGAUUACGGUGCCUGAGGUUUGUGGAUGUGGUCGCAUUCACGUGGGGUUUGAUUUUGAUUGAUAAUAACUACAAAUUUCUUUGAUGCUGUUUGUUUCCACAUUUUGGGGCUUAGCUUUUGCUGUUGGUUAUCAACUUGUCUUGGCCGUGUGAAGAUUUUCUGGUGAGCUCGUGGCCGGCGGCGAGGGGAUGUUGAUGCUCACUUCACUUCACUUUACUCCGCCGCGCCUUGGAGUUUGAGGAAUGGUGGGGACUUGACCGGAA
RNAcentral lists this long non-coding RNA (3781 nucleotides) under Citrus maxima (pomelo). RNAcentral's name for it is "long non-coding RNA (CMAX_LNC003857)". Lineage: Eukaryota; Viridiplantae; Streptophyta; Magnoliopsida; Sapindales; Rutaceae. The record is from RNAcentral.